UACGAAGGGGGCUAGCGUUGUUCGGAAUUACUGGGCGUAAAGGGCGCGUAGGCGGUCCCUCAAGUCAGGCGUGAAAGCCCCGGGCUCAACCUGGGAACCGCGCUUGAGACUGGUGGGCUAGAGUUCGGGAGAGGAUGGUGGAAUUCCCAGUGUAGAGGUGAAAUUCGUAGAUAUUGGGAAGAACACCGAUGGCGAAGGCAGCCAUCUGGACCGACACUGACGCUGAGGCGCGAAAGCGUGGGGAGCAAACAGG
This 253-nucleotide ribosomal RNA is filed under the name uncultured bacterium. RNAcentral's name for it is "partial 16S ribosomal RNA". It matches the Rfam family "Bacterial small subunit ribosomal RNA", at positions 524 to 776 of the family's 1533-position model. The record is from RNAcentral.